CCUGUUGGAAAGGGCUGGCACUGGAGGCCUUUCCUCCUUCUAGCUGCAUCAUAUCCUGGGGAGAAACCUUCAGGCUUAACCCUCAGGGGCCACCUCCUGGUAUCCACCUCCCAGUGAAGCUGUUUUGGUCAGAGCCCUUCUCUUUGCUCACCUGGCUGUGGCAGGAAAGUUCAAGGUGUCCUGGCAGCAGGAAGCUCCCUUGCUCCACCCUCUGCCCAGCUCAGCGGCUUCCGGAGCUCACCGAGGGAUUGCUGCAGCAGAUCUGACAGUGACAGCGACAGCCACCUGCUCUGUGGGGACACAGGAGCGGCACCUUCGGCAUGAAGCACUUGUCCUGUGAGCCCCGGGCAGCCCUCGCUGUGCUCUGCCUCACCGCUGCCCUCUGGGAUUCCUGCUCUGCAGCAGCUGAAGACAUCUCCAAUGUUUCAUCAACUGAAUACGAACCAUUGUGUCUUAAUGUGAACUUCUGCAGGCAGGCAGCCACGUGCUGCCCCUCGGGCAUGGAUGACUACGGGUGGAUCGCAGCGGCCGUCGGCUGGAGCCUCUGGUUCCUCACCCUCAUCCUGCUCUGCAUGGACAAGAUCAUGAAGCUCAGGCCUGACGAACCCAAAUACUUGGUGGCCUGAAGCAGAGAGAGCCAGCGAGCAGCAGCACUGGGCGGACUGACAGAACAUUUCAAACAUUUGCUAAGAAACAAAAGGGGAAGGGAAAACAUCUCCAGCCCAAAAAGGCCCGAUCCAGGCAGGGCAACUGCUGAGGCUUCACCCUGGAGCUGCCAGCCAAGGUGUGGAGCAGGCAAGUCCCUGAAAGCCACCAUGUACCUGCCACAGUACAAAACUCCCAAUUGUCCCUGAGCCCUCUCGUGCUUGCUGUGAGCACAGCAACAAGAGGAGAGGCUGAGGGACCAGUGACCAGCCUAUAGCACAUUGCCUCAUCUAUGGGUUUGACACAGAAAGUGGGCAAAUAAAGCUACUUUCUGGAGCA
This is a long non-coding RNA of Zonotrichia albicollis (white-throated sparrow), 984 nucleotides long. The record is from Ensembl. Lineage: Eukaryota; Metazoa; Chordata; Aves; Passeriformes; Passerellidae.